This is a non-coding RNA of Triticum urartu, 124 nucleotides long. The record is from Rfam. Lineage: Eukaryota; Viridiplantae; Streptophyta; Magnoliopsida; Poales; Poaceae.
UAAGUACUCCCUCCGUCCGGAAAUACUAGUCCUCGAAAUGGAUAAAAUAGAUGUAUCUAUAACUAAAAUAAGUCUUGAUACAACCAUUUCGAGGACAAGUAUUUCCGGACGGAGGGAGUAUAUG